Ananas comosus (pineapple) is the source of this 936-nucleotide long non-coding RNA. RefSeq lists it as uncharacterized. The transcript has 7 exons. Lineage: Eukaryota; Viridiplantae; Streptophyta; Magnoliopsida; Poales; Bromeliaceae. The record is from RefSeq and is a predicted model, not a curated record.
UAAGAAUAGGGUUGCAAGUUCUUUUUUUUUCUCUUUAGAGACUUAGAGAGUUUUCUUUGAGUGAGGUUGCCAAGUUGAGCUGAUUUCUCCUUCUCUCUUGUGUGCUACUGCUUUAGAGGAAGUGAGGAAGUUUUGUUGCUGUUGGAGAGAUAGAUUUAAUAGGGUUUCGGUGGCCUAAACUCUGGAUUCAGCUAAAGUACCUUGUGGAUUGGGAAAGUUUCAACAAUUAGAGAAGGGUCCUCUUACUGUGAUUUCUUGGCCUACACCCAGGGGAAAGUUAAAGUGAUGCCUUGAGAAGUCUUGCAGUCCAUUUUAAGCUGGAUAUCUGAUUCUUGUAAACUGGUUUUGGGUAUACUUCCUCUAAUAGGAGCUGGAGCUCUAAAUGGAAAAGCAGCUAAGAUGGUUGUUUCCAGCUGAUUGUAGUAACUAGUAAGCGCUGAUUUGGAAGAACUCAAAUUGAGUGAAUAGAGGAUUGGGAUUGGGACCUAACUGAGCUAAAUUGAUCAUCACGUGGGGCCGAAUUGAGCUGAGUUCAAGAGGCCCAACUUGGACUAAAGUAGAGGUUUAGCUUCGCCUAAAUUUAGGAGGACUUGGAGGCUUUGGACUCCUUGCAAGCGCUAGUUCAACGAGUAUCGUCUAUUAGUAGAGCCAUCCACUACGGGAGAGGGUAGGGAUCGCGGCAAGGGAGUCGCGUCUAGCUAGACAUAGCGUGGAGUCCCGCUAGGUGAUCACCUCACUAUUCUGUGAUACUGACAAGAGUGAGGUGUACCAGUGUAUAGAGAGACUACCUUAGUAUAUAGCUCUUUUGAAGCGACUUGUGACGUAUAUGUGGGUUUAGAAUGUUGUAUUUACAGUUUUGGACUCCUGCCUCUGUUGAGUUUCUAGGAUUUAUACUAUUUCUUUUUCUAUUAGUUGUUGUACUAUUGGUUCAUACUU